Molecule: ribosomal RNA, 375 nt
Filed under: uncultured bacterium
Lineage: Bacteria
Description: bacterial SSU rRNA
Rfam family: Bacterial small subunit ribosomal RNA
Source: RNAcentral
AUACGUAGGUGGCAAGCGUUGUCCGGAAUUAUUGGGCGUAAAGAGCGCGUAGGCGGGAAGAGAAGUCUACUUUAAAAGUGCGGGGCUCACCCCCGUGAUGGGGUAGAAACUCUCUUUCUUGAGUGCCGGAGAGGAAAGCGGAAUUCCCAGUGUAGCGGUGAAAUGCGUAGAUAUUGGGAGGAACACCAGUGGCGAAGGCGGCUUUCUGGACGGUGUCUGACGCUGAGGCGCGAAAGCCAGGGGAGCGAACGGGAUUAGAUACCCCGGUAGUCCUGGCCGUAAACGAUGGGUACUAGGUGUGGGAGGUAUCGACCCCUUCCGUGCCGGAGUUAACGCAAUAAGUACCCCGCCUGGGGAGUACGGCCGCAAGGUUGA